GUAGGGUGCAAGCGUUAAUCGGAUUACUGGGCGUAAAGCGUGCGCAGGCGGUGAUGUAAGACAGAUGUGAAAUCCCCGGGCUCAACCUGGGAACUGCAUUUGUGACUGCAUUGCUGGAGUGCGGCAGAGGGGGAUGGAAUUCCGCGUGUAGCAGUGAAAUGCGUAGAUAUGCGGAGGAACACCGAUGGCGAAGGCAAUCCCCUGGGCCUGCACUGACGCUCAUGCACGAAAGCGUGGGGAGCAAACAGGAUUAGAUACCCUGGUAGUCCACGCCCUAAACGAUGUCAACUGGUUGUUGGUCCUUUGCUGGAUCAGUAACGAAGCUAACGCGUGAAGUUGACCGCCUGGGGAGUACGGCCGCAAGGUUG
This 368-nucleotide ribosomal RNA is filed under the name uncultured organism. RNAcentral describes it as "bacterial SSU rRNA". It matches the Rfam family "Bacterial small subunit ribosomal RNA", at positions 527 to 896 of the family's 1533-position model. The record is from RNAcentral.